GCGGUAUGGGGCUGCGGGCUACACAUGCAGUCGAGCGGAUGAGAAGAGCUUGCUCUUCGAUUCAGCGGCGGACGGGUGAGUAAUGCCUAGGAAUCUGCCUGAUAGUGGGGGACAACGUUUCGAAAGGAACGCUAAUACCGCAUACGUCCUACGGGAGAAAGCAGGGGACCUUCGGGCCUUGCGCUAUCAGAUGAGCCUAGGUCGGAUUAGCUAGUUGGUGGGGUAAUGGCUCACCAAGGCGACGAUCCGUAACUGGUCUGAGAGGAUGAUCAGUCACACUGGAACUGAGACACGGUCCAGACUCCUACGGGAGGCAGCAGUGGGGAAUAUUGGACAAUGGGCGAAAGCCUGAUCCAGCCAUGCCGCGUGUGUGAAGAAGGUCUUCGGAUUGUAAAGCACUUUAAGUUGGGGAGGAAGGGCAGUAAGCGAAUACCUUGCUGUUUUUGACGUUACCGACAGAAAUAAGCACCGGCUAACUCUGUGCCAGCAGCCGCGGUAAUACAAAGGGUGCAAAGCGUUAAU
This 522-nucleotide ribosomal RNA is filed under the name Pseudomonas oryzihabitans. RNAcentral describes it as "bacterial SSU rRNA". It matches the Rfam family "Bacterial small subunit ribosomal RNA", at positions 38 to 536 of the family's 1533-position model. Lineage: Bacteria; Pseudomonadati; Pseudomonadota; Gammaproteobacteria; Pseudomonadales; Pseudomonadaceae. The record is from RNAcentral.